CGGGGCGUGGCGCAGCUUGGUAGCGCGGGUGCUUUGGGAGCACCAAGUUAUAACCUCGGAUCCCCCUGCCCCAACUA
This 77-nucleotide transfer RNA is filed under the name Synechococcus lacustris. RNAcentral describes it as "tRNA-Pro". The record is from RNAcentral. Lineage: Bacteria; Bacillati; Cyanobacteriota; Cyanophyceae; Synechococcales; Synechococcaceae.